GCCAGAGCCAGUCUGUUGGCAGGAGGACAGGUUAGAAAAUAAAGUAUCUCUGUGCCAGAGCCAGUCUGUUGGCAGGAGGACAGGUUAGAAAAUAAAGUAUCUCUGUGCCAGAGCCAGUCUGUUGGCAGGAGGACAGGUUAGAAAAUAAAGUAUCUCUGUGCCAGAGCCAGUCUGUUGACAGGAGGACAGGUUAGAAAAUAAAGUAUCUCUGUGCCAGAGCCAGUCUGUUGGCAGGAGGACAGGUUAGAAAAUAAAGUAUCUCUGUGCCAGAGCCAGUCUGUUGACAGGAGGACAGGUUAGAAAAUAAAGUAUCUCUGUGCCAGAGCCAGUCUGUUGGCAGGAGGACAGGUUAGAAAAUAAAGUAUCUCUGUGCCAGAGCCAGUCUGUUGACAGGAGGACAGGUUAGAAAAUAAAAUAUCUCUGUGCCAGUGCCAGUCUGUUGGCAGGAGGACAGGUUAG
Molecule: long non-coding RNA, 459 nt
Organism: Lingula anatina
Lineage: Eukaryota; Metazoa; Brachiopoda; Lingulata; Lingulida; Lingulidae
Source: RefSeq, a predicted model, not a curated record